AUUUUAAUUGAAUGGAUCUCUCGAUCUUAAAAUUGAUUUACACUCUUAACCUUUUUUCGUUUUGGUAUAAUGUAAAAACUUAUAUAAGAGAUUUUUUACAAAAACAGAAAUUAAACAAAGAAAAACAUAAAAAUAAAAAUUAUGUAGUAAACAAUAGUACUACAGGAGAGGCCACAAAAGAAGAAAUUAACAAAAGGAGCUGGAACGUUCUGAGUUCUGACAGAAAAAGCCACGAGAAAACCGUCGAUGUUGCCACGAGUGAACCGCGAUUCGAACCCAGCCUUUAACAUAUAAUUAGGAUCGAGUUAGAGAAGGUUAAAGAUGACAAAAAGAGAGUUUGAAAUCAAUUUUUGGACUGAUUAAAAUAGAUAAACAUAAAAAUAAAACAAAGAAAAACAUAAAACUAAAAACUGCAGAAACAACAGUACUGCAGAAGGCCACAAAAGAUGAAAUUAACGACAGGAGCUAGCAUGUUCUGACGAAAGAAGACACGAGAAAACCGUCGAUGUUGCCACAAGUGAACUGCGACCUGAACCUACCUUUUAACAUAUCAUUAGCAUCGAGUUAGAGAAGGUAAAAGAUGACAAAAAGAGAGUUCGAAAUCAAUUUUUGGACUGUUAAAAUAGAUAAACGAAACAAAAAAUUUCACCCAAACUGACAUUAAUUGAAUGGAUCUUUCGAUCUUAAACUUGAAUUACACUCUUAAAUAUUUUGUUUUGGUAAAAUGUAAAAAUUUAUACUAGAUUUCAUAUUUUUUACAAAAAUGGAAAUAAAACAAAGAGAAAAAUAAAACUAAAAACUAUGCAGCAAACAACAGUACUGUAGAAGGCCACAAAAGAUAAAAUUAACGAAAGGAGCUCGAAAUUCCUGAUGGAAGAAGACACGAGAAAACCGUCGACGUUGCCACGAGUGAACUGCGAUCAGAACCCAGCCCUUAACAUAUCAUUAAGAUCGAGUUAGAGAAGGUGAAAGAUGACAAAAAGAGAGUUUGAAAUCAUUUUUUGGAAUGUUUAAAAUAGAUAAACAAAACAAAAAAAGUUCAACUAAACUGAUAUUAAUUGAAUGGAUCUCUCGAUCUUAAAAUUGAAUUACACUCUUCACUUUUUUUUUGUUUUGGUAAAACAUAAAGAAUUUAUACUAGAUUUUAGAUUUUUUACAGACACAAAAGUAAACGAAGAGAAACAUAAAACUAAAAAAAACUAGGCAGCAAACAACAGUACUCGAGAAGACCACAAAAGAUAAAAUUAACCAAAGGAGCUAGAACGUUCUGAGGGAAGAUGACACGAGAAAAUCGUCGAUGUUGCCACGAGUAAACUGCUAUCCUAUCGUAGCCUUUAACAUAUCAUUAGGAUUGAGUUACAGAAGGUAAAAGAUGACAAAAAAGAGUUUGAAAUCAAUGUUUGGACUGUUUAAAAAUCGAUAAACAAAAAAUAAAAGUUCACCCAAACUGAAAUUAAUUGAAUUGAUUUCUCGAUCUUAAAAUUGAAUUACACUCUUAACUUUUUUGUUUUGGUAAAAUAUAAAAAUUUAUACUAGAUUUAAGAUUUUAUACAAAAAACGGAAAUAAAAUAAAGAGAAACACAAAAGCAAAACCAUGCAGCAAACAAUAGUACUGUAGAAGGCCGUAAAGGAUGAAAUUAACGAAAUGAGCUAGAAAGCUCUGACGGAAGAAAACACUAGAAAACCGUUGAUGUUGCCACGAGUUAACCGCGAUCCGAACUUACCCUUUCAAAUAUCAUUAGAAUCGAGUUAGAGAAGGUAAAAGAUGACAAAAAGAGAGUUUGAAAUCAAUUAUUGGACUGUUUAAAUAGAGAAACAAAAUAAAACAUUUCACCCAAACUAAUAUUAAUUGAAUGAGUCUCUCGAUCUUAAAAUUGAAUUACACUGUUAACUUUUUUUUGUUUUGGUAAAAUGUAAAAAUUUAUAAUAGAUUUUUGACUUUUUACAAACGCGGAACUAAAAAAGAGAAACAUAAAUCUAAAAACUAUGCAGCCCUGCAAAAGGCCACAAAAUAUGAAAUGAACGAAAAUAGCUAGAACGUUAUGACAGAAGAAGAGAAGCAAAAACCGUUGAUGUUUUCACGAGUGAACCGCGAUCCGAAGUUAGCCUUUAAAAUAUCAUUAAGAUCGAGUUAGAGAAGGUAAUAGAUGACAAAAAGAGAGUUUGAAAUCUUUUAUUGGACUGUUUAAAAUAAAGAAACAGAGCAAAACAUUUCACGAAACUGAUAUUACCUGAAUGAAUAUCUCGAUCUUAAAAUUGAAUUACAAUCUUAACUUUUUUUUAUUUUGGUAAAAUGUAGAAAAAUUAUAUCAUAGAUGUUUUACAAAACCGGAAAUAAAACAUACAAAAACAUUAUAAAAAAAAACCAGGAAGCAAACAACAGUACUGCAAAAGGCCAGAAAAGAUAAAAUUAACGAAAAUUGCUCGAAAUUCCUGAUGGAAGAUGACACGAGAAAACCUUUGAUGUUGCCACGAGUGAACCGCGAUCAUAACCCAACCCUUAACAUAUCAUUAAGAUCGAGCUAGAGAAGAUAAAAGAUGACAAAAAAAAAAAGAGUUUGAAAUCAAUUUUUGGAAUGUUUAAAAUAGAUAAACAAAACAAAAAAAGUUCAGCUAAACUGAUAUUAAUCGAAUGGAUCUCUCGAUCUUAAAAUUGAAUUACACUCUUAACUUUUUUUUUGUUUUUGGUAAAAUAUAAAAAUUUAUACAAGAUUUUUGAUUUUUUACAAACACGAAAACAAAACGAAGAGAAAUAUAAAACUAAAAAAAAACUAAGCAGCAAAAACCAAUAUUCGAGAAGACCAUGAAAGAUAAAAUUAACCAAAGGAGCAAGAACGUUCUGGCGGAAGAAGACACGAGAAAACCGUCGAUGUUGCCACGAGUAAAUUGCUAUCCUAUCGUAGCUUUUAACAUAUCAUUAGGAUUGAGUUAGAGAAGGUAAAAGAUGACAAAAAGAGAGUUUGAAAUCAAUGUUUGGACUGUUUAAAAUCGAUAAACAAAAAAGAAAAGUUCACCCAAACUAACAUUAAUUGAAUUGAUCUCUCGAUCUUAAAAUUGAAUAACACUUUUAACUUUUUUGUUUUGGUAAAAUAUAAAUAUUUAUACUAGAUUUAAUAUUUUAUACAAAAACAGAAAUAAAAUAAAGAGAAACAUAAAACGAAAACCUAUGCAGCAAACA
Molecule: long non-coding RNA, 3178 nt
Filed under: Arabidopsis lyrata
Lineage: Eukaryota; Viridiplantae; Streptophyta; Magnoliopsida; Brassicales; Brassicaceae
Description: long non-coding RNA (ALYR_LNC002442)
Source: RNAcentral